Lolium rigidum is the source of this 3616-nucleotide long non-coding RNA. RefSeq lists it as uncharacterized. NCBI's taxonomy places the organism in Eukaryota, Viridiplantae, Streptophyta, Magnoliopsida, Poales, Poaceae. The transcript is spliced from 3 exons. The record is from RefSeq and is a predicted model, not a curated record.
UCGAAUGAGAGAUCUGGAUACAGCAGUGAGAUUUGGAUGCAAUAUCUAUAAUCUAUCCAAUAUUUGUUGUUGGAUCUAGAUGCAUGUUUUUUUCUUGAUCACUUUUCCUAUGAACUGCAGAUUCGUUUUUCUUCAAUUUACCUUUUAUCCCAUGUCGCCUCCUACCACCAGCUAGAGACAUCCACCCUAUAAAGAAUUUGACCAUAUAGAGUUAUCACGAAAACUGGACUCAGAUGUUCAUGUAGUGUGGGGAAUAAAUGUUCUUGGAGUAAGACAAUCUUCUGAACUCAGUUAUUUGUUUGGUAAAACGUUGGUUCCAGAUUUCAGUUAAAAAUGCUAUUGCAAGACAAUCUUCUGGCUGCUACCAUACAUAUUUAGGUUGUGUGGUGCACCACUUUGUUAUAUCAACUGAUUAUAUAACGUAGCAUUUGAAGAUAUUUGAGUUUCUGCUUUUUUAGUUGAGUUUAAUCGGCUGGUUAUUCUAGGUGUUCUCCAUAUAGCCUAAGGUAACAUCCAGUUGUGUGUAAUAUUUGAUAGCUGAACAUCUAGGGAUUCUCACGUAGUAUAUUCAGUGGAUUCUUGCAGAAUAUACUACGUGAGAAUUAGUAGUAGAAAGAUGACUCCCUUUUACUAAUGCAAAGAAGACACAUUUAUAUGAUUUUACCAAGUUUGUUUGCAAUUUAGUACAUACCAUGGAUGGAGAGUUGGUCUUGCAGACAGUCUGAACAAGUGCAUAAUAUUUUACAUUUUCCAGAGAACAGUACACAGGGAAGAUGGUCACAAAAUUGGCUCAACAAUUGCAAGAUGAAGGUUGAUGUCUCUUUUUCCUUGAUAGAUGGAAGAUUUGGCUCUACACUUUAAUAAGAAGGUGAUUGACCUCCCUAAAAAAAGGUGAUUGACUAAAGCUACUGCCACAAAAUCAGAAGGUCUUUGUGCGCCACACAUCAUGCAGAAUUUAUAGUCUUUUGCAAGUGCCAUGAGCCGCAGGCUGCUCCGUGAAGCUGGCAAUUUGCCUACUCUUUCAAGAAAGACGAUGGUUACACUAAUGGUACUGAAUUAAACAGGUGCAGGGGCUCUCCAACUAGGCAAGUAUUGUCAAAAAAAAAUCUCAGUAUUAUUUGAUGUGUCCUCAUUGUCAUGGGCAGGCAUGUACGAAGAAUCAAGAUACCUCACUGGGUAAACAAAACCCUUUUUCAGGUUAAUUAAAUGCAUAUGCAACGCUUCAUGUUUAUGUAAUAGAACAAGCUUUGUUCUAGGUGGUUUCCACCUAUUUUUCAGGUUCUGUGAAGUAUAAAAGGAGAUGCAGAGCCGUGGGGCUUGAAGUGACACAAACGACGAUGAUGCACGCAGCAACACAAACGGCUGUACUACUACGCAGGUGUAUGAUAAGAGAGGUGACUUAUGUACUAACCAGCCUUAUUCCCAAAAUGGUAAAUAUCAACCAUAUACUCGGCAGCUAAUUCUGUUGUCAUAAUGGAAUGCAUUAGUGUUCCACUAAAGGAAGUAAUAAGCUAGCAAGCAAAUGUAUCGCCCUUAGAUAAAGUACCACAAAACUUCUUAAACCUUGACCGGUAAAAUGUCAAACUAAGUUUUUAAAAAAAUUGUCGACAAUUUUUGUUAACUUAUUUUUGUAGACUGUACCGCCUUUUGUCUUCCUGAUAGACUGCAUGGAUGUGUCAAAAAAAGUUCUUAAAAUAGAAAUAACAUUUGCGAGUAUGCUACUGCUACUUGACGGUUGGGGCCGCUCGGUAGAUUGGGUCGUCGGCGGCGGUGUUGCACGAUCUGUGCAAGAGUUGCAAGGUGUGCCUUCUUCUUUGCGUGUUGGAUUUGAGCGCGGAGCAGAUCGAGGCGUUGAGCGGGUGACCCAGCUGGUGCUCAUCGUCCGCACUGUGUAUUUGCUGUCCUAUGAUCAUUGGUAAAUUCAUUCUUUUAUUAUUAGAUCGUAUUCAACUGAAGAAUGAAGAUGUGAUUUUUUCUGGAUCACGACACCCAUUGGUUCAGUUUACCAAUCUCCAUGGACUCCAUGUUUCUCCCAAUGUCACUUCCUUGCAUGAAUUUUUCAUCUGAUUUGCUUCCAUCUUUUGCUAUAUCCAGAUCAGUUCAUAGAAAAAGGAGCAUACUUGAUUUUGAAUAAUGCAAUGAGCAAGUUACCGGUCAGUAUCAUAGUCAUUUUAAAUUUGUAACGCCUCCAUUUAAGACGUAUCUGUCUUUUACAUGAUAUGGGGAAAAGAUGUGAGUCAGUCCCCGCUCUUCGGUAAACAAACACUCUGUACUAUGCAAUUAGCAAUUUACUUCUUUGUUCUUGGGCAGUAAUUUAUUAAGGUCUCACUCAACUUUGUUUGUCUAGAAAAUUUACAAGAGCGCAUCAGGCUGACAAAAGAAUUUAGUCUGCCUCCAAAAGGGCAUAGGAUGAAUAGAGAUAAGCUAGAGGUCUGCCGAUCACUACAUUUAUCUCUUUGUUCAUUGCUAAUCAUUGUCAUGAUUACAUAUAAGCAUUAUUGUUCAUGCUCUCUUUUCUACGCUCUUUUUCAAUUCUGAAAUUCCGAGUCAAUUUGUAAACAUGAAUUGCGAGAUUAACCUUUUUUUAGAUCAAUUGCGAGAUUAACUAGAACGUGCUUCAGCACCUGUUUUUCUGAAGCACUGGCGAUAGUAUUAAAACAUUCUCAAAUGAACUUGAUCUAUGAAAAGCUGAGAGAGUUCGUAUUGGACUUGAUCUUCGGUAGUAGACUCAUGUCUAAAGUAUUGCAACGGCAUGCCUUGAGCUCUGCACAAUUAGAUGAAUAGAAUGCAUUCUUUUUCCUAUCAAUCAGAUGUGGUGUAGUGAAUGUUAACAAUGCUUCACUUGGCUAGCUAAUAGAGCUCUUUUUUUUACAUCUUGGUAAUGUAGGUGCUCUUCCUCAACUUCGGAGAUGAGUCAAAGGUAAUGUAGUCUUUUGUUUUGAAAAUGGAAGCUUUUCUUGACCCCUAAUUGCAUACAGUGCUCAUCAUCGAAGGUGUCUGAAGAUGAUUUAGUUUACCAAGCCAUAUAUAUGAAAACAUGAAAUUCACAGCAUUAACCUGCAAAUAGAAACUGUUGUGCUUGCUGUUCUUUUGCUCUACAUUUUUGUAGCUACAAUGAUCCAUAUAUUAUCAUGUCUAAAUUAGGAUGGCUGACGCAUCUAUCUUGAGCUGUUGCAUGACAUACAUAUUUGCGGGCAGCAAUCCUAUAUAUGGUUUGUCCAAGUUGAGAAGUUCUUCUCCUUAAGAGACAAAUUUUAGAUUAAUUGUUAUAGAUUUUUAUCUACUUAAUUACGGGACUCUUUAUAGGGAGAACAUAAAAUUUACAUGAAAUUGAUGCAUCUAUAGAAAUAUGUAUUAUGUUAAAAGUUUUUGCAAGGAUCAGAUAUCUCAAGUGUUGAGUUUGUAUUAUCUGUAUGCAUAUUUUUCCCACAAUUUUGCAUAAGAUCAGUGAUAUACAUACGGUAUUUCUUCAUAUUAACCCUAAGGUUACUAUGUUAUGAGCAAGUAUUUCACAUUAGUCUAUUCCCCCAAGACUAAGAUUCCAGACACUGCUCUUAGCUGCUGUUGAGGUCGAGUAAGAGGUUAUUAGUCAUUGGUAUUCUGUUUUUGAUUCGCU